This is a long non-coding RNA of Megalops cyprinoides (Indo-Pacific tarpon), 186 nucleotides long. RefSeq lists it as uncharacterized. The record is from RefSeq and is a predicted model, not a curated record. Lineage: Eukaryota; Metazoa; Chordata; Actinopteri; Elopiformes; Megalopidae. The transcript is spliced from 3 exons.
GACGGUUAAUGUUGGAGCUGGGAGCCCAGUCAUGGCAUGUGGAAACGGACAACAGUAUCGCCGUGUUAGCUGCUGGGUGGAGUCUCAGCCAUGGCAGGGCCUCGUCUGGCCGUCACCAUCGCCCUCCUGUGGAUACUGACUCUGACUGAAUGCCAAGACACACCUGUUACCUGCCUCUUCUCUGAG